AAAAAAAAAAUUUUUUUUUUUACAUUUUUUUUUUUUCCACACACUACUCUUAGGGAUUCCACCUGGCUUUUAUUUUAUUGGCACAGCCAAUAUUUGAGGCUGCCUGGCUGGUGCCAAUAUUGCAGUGAUACUGGCAAUAUAAAUGCUGGUAUUUUUCUCAGUAUAAACAAGAAAUUACUAUGCAAUACCAGCACGGGCCAGUAGGGGUUGCUAUAUGUGGAGACAGGCAGGGAUAGGAAGUUCCAGCAUAUCCCUCCCUGCCUAUCUAUACUCACUGAUCUGCAGGGGUGCAGCUACAGAGAGUCCAGACAGCAACUCCCACCAUGCAGAGACAGCCUACAGCUCAGGGAAGUAAGGGAUGGGGGAGACAUGGGGACACUGAGACACUAAGGGACAUUGGGAGACAUUAUGGCAGACACUGAGACACUAAGGGACAUUGAGAGACAUUAUGGCACAGACACAUGGGGACACAGUGUCCCCAUGUCUCCCAGCCAGUGUCCCUGGUGUCUCAGUGCCCCCUAGUCUCCCAGUGCCCCCUAGUCUCCCAGUGCCCCCAGUCUGCCAGUGUCUCACUGUCCCCAUGUCUCCUAGUGCCUCCAUGUCUCUCAGUGCCUCAAGUGUCACAAUGUCCCCAAGCUAGUGUCCCUAGUGUCUGUGGCCCUGGUGUCUCAGUGUCCCCAUGUCUUCCAGUGCCCCCAUGUCUCAAUGUCCCCAUGUCCCCCAGCCAGUGUCUCUAGUAUCUUUGUCCCUGGUGUCUGUGUCCCCAUGUCUUCAAGUGUCCCCUAUUUUCCCAUUGUCCCCAUGUGUCCCAGCCAGAGUCCCCUAGUCUCCCAGUGUCACUGGUGUCUCCGUGUCCCUAGGUCUCCCCGUGUCCCCAGGUCUCCCCGUCUUCCUAGUGUCCUAGUGACAUGGGGACCCUGGGAUACAUGGGGACACAGGGAGACAUGGGGCAUUGAGAUACUGAUACAUAGGAUCACUGGGAGACCUGGGGACACGACACUAGGGGACACUGGGAGACAUGGGGCACUGAGACACUGAUACAUAGGAACACCGAGACCUGGAGUAAUCGACACAUGGGGGCACUGAGUCAUGAGGGCACUGGGAGACAUGGGGGCACUGGGAGGAAUCCAUCUAUACAGCAGAUUUAAACUAUGUAGUUUUUUGGUGAUUUUACAGCGUUUUCUCUUAUGUCACUCCUUGUGAUGUGAUGUCACCCACACAUAUUUAAUUAUG
This is a non-coding RNA of Pelobates cultripes (western spadefoot toad), 1233 nucleotides long. NCBI's taxonomy places the organism in Eukaryota, Metazoa, Chordata, Amphibia, Anura, Pelobatidae. The record is from the annotation of a GenBank genome assembly.